GCCGAUGUAGCUCAGCUGGUCUAGAGCGGCGGAUUCAUAACCCGCAGGUCGGUGGUUCGAGUCCACCCAUCGGCA
This 75-nucleotide transfer RNA is filed under the name Phycisphaerales bacterium. Its description in RNAcentral is "tRNA-Met". It matches the Rfam family "tRNA". From Rfam's summary of the family: Transfer RNA (tRNA) molecules are approximately 80 nucleotides in length. Their secondary structure includes four short double-helical elements and three loops (D, anti-codon, and T loops). Further hydrogen bonds mediate the characteristic L-shaped molecular structure. tRNAs have two regions of fundamental functional importance: the anti-codon, which is responsible for specific mRNA codon recognition, and the 3' end, to which the tRNAs corresponding amino acid is attached (by aminoacyl-tRNA synthetases). tRNAs cope with the degeneracy of the genetic code in two manners: having more than one tRNA (with a specific anti-codon) for a particular amino acid; and 'wobble' base-pairing, i.e. permitting non-standard base-pairing at the 3rd anti-codon position. Lineage: Bacteria; Pseudomonadati; Planctomycetota; Phycisphaerae; Phycisphaerales. The record is from RNAcentral.